UCUAGGGAGCUUUUAAGCUCCACCCAAAAACUAACACAAAUGGAGG
Molecule: non-coding RNA, 46 nt
Organism: Anolis carolinensis (green anole)
Lineage: Eukaryota; Metazoa; Chordata; Lepidosauria; Squamata; Anolidae
Source: Rfam